Molecule: unclassified non-coding RNA, 558 nt
Filed under: Hevea brasiliensis (rubber tree)
Lineage: Eukaryota; Viridiplantae; Streptophyta; Magnoliopsida; Malpighiales; Euphorbiaceae
Source: RNAcentral
AAAAAAAAAAAAAAACAUAAAGGUACGAGGGAAUUGGAAAGGAAAAAGAAGCAAAACGCAAGUAAUCAUCAUCAAUCAAUUAGUAGCCCUUUCAACAUGGCGUAUAAAAACAGUUUCCAAGUCAGGAGGAGUAAAGAACUCUCUAACACCACUGUAAUUACAUUUCAAAGUAGCCUUUCGCUUCUUGGGAGCCAGAGGGCACGCAAGUCUCGUCGGAAUUCUAGCAUCGUCACUUGUCGGUGUAGUGGCGGUCGAACACUCAUCACUACUUUCGCUUUCUUUCUCCACAGGAUUUGUAAAAAUGGGCUUUAAAGGAGCUCUUAAAGGAAUUCCAGCAAUAACCCAUUUUUUAGCAUCCAAUUCCAAGCCAGAAUCAACUUGAGGCUUCCCUGAGAACCCCAUGUUUUGGAUCCAAAAAACAAAGAAAACCCUUCGAGUAAUAUAGGAUUAGGAGGCUAGCCUGCAGGGAAUAAGGAAUAAAGCGUAAAGAGAAUAAAGAAAGAGGAGAGGGGGGAGGGGGUGGUGGGGGGGUUUAUAGUGAUCGUGUGGGGAUUGGCU